Homalodisca vitripennis (glassy-winged sharpshooter) is the source of this 450-nucleotide long non-coding RNA. RefSeq lists it as uncharacterized. The transcript is spliced from 4 exons. The record is from RefSeq and is a predicted model, not a curated record. NCBI's taxonomy places the organism in Eukaryota, Metazoa, Arthropoda, Insecta, Hemiptera, Cicadellidae.
GGAAAAGUGUUACAAGUGAUACCUCAACUAGCAAUCAACCAGUGAGUAAGAACCCAAGGCGAUCAUUUGCAAGAGGUGAGAAAGUUUUGUUUACUGGAUUUAGCAACACAACAUAUGAAGCCAACGUAAAAAAAAUUAGGUGGGGCUGUGGUUGACUCUCCCGACAGCUGCACUGUGCUUGUUACUGACAAAGUACGCAGAACUGUGAAGUUCCUCUGUGCGCUUGGUCAGGGCAAGCCUAUUGUCGACCCAGAAUGGAUUGUACAAUCUCACCGUUGCACAUGCUUUGAAGACCCUAUGAAUCACCUACUAUUGGAUGUGGAAGCCCAGUCGAGAUUCAAUUUCGACCUCCGACAGACAAUAAAUGAAGCAAAGAAGCAGCCAAUGUUAACUAGCUAUACAGUCUAUACCACACCCAGCGUUAAACCUCCUCCAGAUGACAUUAAAAGU